AAAUUGAAGAGUUUGAUCAUGGCUCAGAUUGAACGCUGGCGGCAGGCCUAACACAUGCAAGUCGAACGGUAACAGGAAGCAGCUUGCUGUUUCGCUGACGAGUGGCGGACGGGUGAGUAAUGUCUGGGAAACUGCCUGAUGGAGGGGGAUAACUACUGGAAACGGUAGCUAAUACCGCAUAACGUCGCAAGACCAAAGAGGGGGACCUUCGGGCCUCUUGCCAUCGGAUGUGCCCAGAUGGGAUUAGCUAGUAGGUGGGGUAACGGCUCAC
This 271-nucleotide ribosomal RNA is filed under the name Escherichia coli. RNAcentral's name for it is "partial 16S ribosomal RNA". It matches the Rfam family "Bacterial small subunit ribosomal RNA", at positions 1 to 268 of the family's 1533-position model. The record is from RNAcentral. Lineage: Bacteria; Pseudomonadati; Pseudomonadota; Gammaproteobacteria; Enterobacterales; Enterobacteriaceae. RNAcentral also lists the same sequence under 1 other name.